CACUUGUGAUGAGCACUGAAUGAUGUAUACAAUUGCUGAAUAUAUUGUACACCUGAUACUAAUAUAGCACUGUAUGUUAAUUAACUGGAAUCAAAAUAAAAACUUAAAAAAGAUAAGACCCUGCUCAAAGUGGGCAAAAUGUGAGAAGCAGAGAUCCAAUGAGUCUGCAGGUAGUGGGUGGACAAAGGGUGCAUACUCCCUCCCUCUGGGAGGUGGUGACACUCCCAGGAGGAAGCCAUUUGGAAAACUGAGGUCUUGAUUUUUUCUACCCCAGAAAAUCUGGCACAAUAUCUAAAAAGCUGAAAGACUUUUCUGGGUUUUCUCUUUAAGGAAAGUUUGGGGAGUAUCCAAGACUCUGAACCUUGCACAAUCCAGCUUGUGAGGGCUGGCCAGCAGUGCUCCCACCAUUCUCCCUGUUCCUGCACUCACUGCAAAGACCUGGGCCUCCUACCAGUGCUUUCCAGAUUCCUAGGGACCAUGUGCUAGAGAAGAUUCCUUAUCACACUGGCUUUCCUUCCCUAAAAUGCGAGGUAAAUCCAUGGUCAUUCAAUAUAGACCUAACACUGACUUUUCUUUGCCCUUACUGGAAUUCUUGGGGAAAUCCAGCAUGGAUUUUCCUCUUUUACUCUCACAAUUAAAAAAACUCAUUUAUGAGGGUAAGGCACCGAGAGACGCAACCUGGCAGGGCUCUCCUACUCUACUUUACACUUUUUAUCUUACCAUUUUUAAAAAUGAGAAAGGCGGCUUUUUUUUUUUUAACCACAAACCAUUUUCACAUUCAGAUGCUUGGGUUUUGUAAAUCUUCCCCGGCAAAUUCACACCCUCAGAGCCACACUAGAUAGAAGAGCUGGAAAGCCCCAAACUUCUUUUAUUAAACAUUUAUUCUACUGAGUGUGGGACUGUGCACUAAAACUGCAAUAGGUAACUGGUCACAGGAGGUUACAGCCUCCACUAACUGACCUCAAUGAGAAAUCAAAACUGGAAAGAACUGGAAAACCAGUCAAGCAGAGGCAGGCAAGCAACAUUGUCGAACAAUCAGAUAUAACAGAAAUAUAAUGUAUUUAGAUGACCUAAGGGUCUUUCUCAGGUCUACAUGUAAAUCAGUAAACCUUACUUUUUACAACCAUAGCAAAUUAUACCUUGUAAUGUGCAAGUAUUUGGAGUACUGAUUGAAAGCAGGUCCCCCUUUCCUCUUGUAACAAGCUUUGGAGCAGCUCUUCAGAGCAAUCAGAAAGACCACCUCCCAAACUACAGUCCUCAGGAAGACAAUGAAUAAAGCAUUCACUAACCUACUUUGAGGUUGGUUUUCUUUCAGUGGACAGGAUCAGGUCUCAAAGAAAUGGAAAAAUAAAACUGAAUAAAACAUGGCCCUUCCCCCUUUUUUUUUUUUUUAGCAGUUCAGAUGGAUGCAAAAGAGAGAUUGUGUUUGCAAUAUUCAAUUGUGGGGAGAUCUGUUCCAAGAUCCCCAGUGGAUGCCUGAAUCUGUCUAGUACCAAACCCUAUGCAUAUUAUGUCUUUUGCUGUACAUACAUGCCUAUGAUAAGGCAUAAUUUAUAAAUGAGGCACAGUAAGACAUUAACUAAUAAUAAAAUAGAACAAUUAUGGUAAUAUAUGUAAUAAAAGUUAUGUGAAUGUGAUGUCUCUCUAACAGAAUAAGUAGAGUUAAAUGGGCAAGUUAGGGCUGGCCUGGAAAGAGUUCUUACGCCAGUCUAAGGAGUUUGGGAUUUAUUGGUCAGGCAAUGGGGAAGCAUUGUAAGAUUUUAAUUAGAGGAUUAACCUGAUUCAUUCAUUCGCUCCUUUCCCUACUUUCCCUUCCUCUCUCUUCCUCCCUCCCUUCCUCCUCCCCUUUUUUUCUGACUUUAGCAUCAGCCUUUAGGAUGGUUUGGAUGCAGAAGAAAGUGCCCAGGGGUUGGUUAGUUAGGAGUUGGCUUUAGGCCAUUUGGGCCUAAGCCUAAGUAGUGGCAACAGUGAAGCAGGGAGCUAAUCAGGAAGCAGAAACCAUAGGAUCUAAUGUGCAAGUGGAUUUAGGGGGAAGGGACAAGGAAAAGAAUGGAGUUCCAGCGAUGUUUCAGUAUUCUAACUCAAAUAAUUAGACACAAGAUGAUAUAAUUAACUCAGAGAAUAUGAGAAGAGGAUAGGUUCGGGGUCAAAUAAAGAAUUAGUUUGAGUCAAAAGCGCUUUAUAGUGCUUGUAACACAUUUAGGUGAAGAUGUCCAGGACACAAGUAGAAACAAAGACAAAGCUAUGGGAUACAGGAGCUAGAAGCCAGAAGAGGGAUGCACUCAGCCCAGUGGAGCUUCCUGAUCAGGAAGGCAUCCGUCUGAUGACAGAAGCCCAGGCAAUAGCAACCAACAUUCUAAAAGGUUGCUAGGGAAAAAAGCACAAAAGCAGAUGGAGAAGAGCAGAAGCUGGACAAUGGAGAGCAGCUCGCGUUAGAGGAAGUGGAGAGUUAAAGCAGGGAGAGUCCAUUUGACAUUCCCACGUCAACACUUACCUUGGUGACAGUUAAGACAACCAUCAAAGUGAGUGGGAUUUAGGAUGAAAAGAGACAUGUGGAGGUGUCUAAGAAACUCUUUGAAGAAUCCUCACUGUGAUGAAUAAGAAGGCUAGGUAGAACUGGAGGUCAGCUAGAAGGACUGUUUUAAGGCCUGAACAGAGUUGAGCAUGCCAUUUGCUUUCUGCAUAGUCACAGUCAGAAGCAGCCAGGAAAAUACUAGGAAAUUGUCUGAUUUAAAGGAAAAUCUAAUCUUUGUCAAGAGUAUGAUGGUGAAGCAAAGCAAUGCUGCUUCUGUCUAUCUUAAUGGUUAUUCUUUGUUAUUUUAGGCCAUCUGUAAUCCAGGGGCUCAGGUGAAAUUUGUACUUUCUGGCCCAGCAGGUUAACCUAGUACCUGAAAGCCAGUGUCCAUAGGAAGAGGCUUAGAGCUGGUUCUGUGUGAACACAGAAGGUGUUUUCCAGAAUCUAUGUUUGUUAUUUUACUUCAUGCAUUUUUUUAUUCACUUAUUUCUUUUGAAACCAUGCUCUCUUAUUUAAAAUCUGAGUUCAAUUAAGAGAAUCUUAUUACUCUGGAGAUUUUUUUCAUAUUCAUGAUCAUAUGAUUUUAAGAAAUAGCUAAAUCACUAAAUAAAGGUUCCUCUCUCGCUUUUUUUUCUCUUUCUUUUCCCUCAUCAAGAGAAGCUUGUCUUAUUUGAUCUGGAAUCAUGUGGGUGGUCCAUUUCAGAAUGCAAAAAAAAGAAACGUGAAUGGAAACCCAUCUUCCUGGGACAGGGUGCCGCCAACUCUGGGCUGUGUCACCCUGAGGUCCAGGCCACUGCUGAAGCGAGCUGGAUGAAUUUACAUGAGAAGCCCAAGGAAACUGUUUCCCCAAAUGCAAAGUUAGAGAGACUUAGUGUGCUUGACCAGAUCAGUCCUGACCAGGGCCCUGUGGUAACGAAACUCCUAAAACUUAAAAAAGCAAGCAAACAAACAAAAACUGUUGAGAGAAGGGCUCAACCAUCAGGAGGCUAAUUUCAGUCCGUCCAUGGCUUGUGCUGAGAUGUAAAAAGUCCCUCCAGACCCUACCAUUCUGUCUCUCAGAAGGUGCUAAGGGAGGCAAGGGGCUGAAGCUAGGACUCACAACACUGAGUGGUGACCUUGGAAACCCAGAAGGGUGCCUUCUUGGCCAAGCUUAGUGCUCAAGGAGUGCGAAACCCUUGAUGAUGCACUAGAUUUUGCACAAAGGGCAUGAGGUUUAAUUUCAAAAUGCAGACUUGGGUAUCGUAGAGUGAAAGCAAACAGGGACACACGACGUGCAUUUUCAAUACUCCUACUUAGUGAAAGCUGGUGAGAACAUUUUCAUUCUUUUUAAACAAAGGCAAGCAGUUCAACUACUUUCUGGGUGUCCAUCCACCUCAAGGUAGAGAACCUCAGUCCCUCAUGAGGGAGGGAACUAUUCAUUAAGCCCCGAAAACAGCAAGGGCUGAGGGCGGGGCUCUAUCACUUGGCCACUACUAUGCAACAUAUACACUUUCUCCCUGGGCCAUCAUGGAUUCCAAAGGCAAUAUAAGAUCCUCACAAAGACAGGGAGUUCUUAUCUUGUGAGUUAUUUAAGCAAUAUGAUGAGCAAAGUCUUUCAGAUCAUUUGCAAUGUUAUUCUUGGAUAACUUGAUGUUUGUUCAUCAGCCUUAAUAACUUUAUUAUAUGAACUCCUGGCAUUCAUGAAAUGGUACGUGGCCUCCUAACUGGUGGUAUGACCAAUUAUUUCAUUCACGCCACGAACUUUUAUUGAGCACCUAUUACAGGCCAGGAGCUACACUAGGGUCUGGCAAUAUAAUGAUAGAAGACAGGUCCCUGACCUCAAGAUACCAAAUAGAUAUUAAGAGAUAAUAGAAAAAAUAUAUAUUGGUCUCUGCCCCGGCUCCUGACGCAAGGCUCCUGAAACCUUUGUAAUUUCCUAAGUGAUAAGAACACUAGGCACUUCCUUUGUUGUAAUAUUUGAUCGUUGACUUGAGCUACUGACAUAGGACUUCCGAAACCCUUGUAUUUCCUCGGUUAAUAAUAGUGUCUUUUUUUCUCCGUGGGGUCCUGGAUGGCUCCUGGAUGAGAGCUGGUAUUGGAAAGACCAAGCUGUGAUUAGAAACUUGGAAUUUUCAGCCCUUCCCCUCCCCCAUUCUCUUGAGAUGGAAGAAGGCUGAAAGUAGAAUUAAUGACUGAUUAUGCCUAUAUUAUGAAGCCUCCACAAAAUCCCAGUAAGAUGGGAUUCGGGGAGCUACUCCAUUGGCGAACACAUCCACCCUAGGAGGGUGGUGAACCUCCAACUCCAAAGGACAGAAGCUCCUGCACUCAGGACCCUCCCAGACCUCGCCCUAUGUAUCUAUUCAUCUACAUCCUUUAUUUAUAUUUUAAUAAACUGAUAAAUGUG
Molecule: long non-coding RNA, 4898 nt
Organism: Felis catus (domestic cat)
Lineage: Eukaryota; Metazoa; Chordata; Mammalia; Carnivora; Felidae
Exons: 2
Source: RefSeq, a predicted model, not a curated record